AGAGUUUGAUCCUGGCUCAGAACGAACGCUGGCGGCGUGGAUAAGACAUGCAAGUCGAACGAGAGAAUUGCUAGCUUGCUAAUAAUUCUCUAGUGGCGCACGGGUGAGUAACACGUGAGUAACCUGCCCCCGAGAGCGGGAUAGCCCUGGGAAACUGGGAUUAAUACCGCAUAGUAUCGAAAGAUUAAAGCAGCAAUGCGCUUGGGGAUGGGCUCGCGGCCUAUUAGUUAGUUGGUGAGGUAACGGCUCACCAAGGCGAUGACGGGUAGCCGGUCUGAGAGGAUGUCCGGCCACACUGGAACUGAGACACGGUCCAGACACCUACGGGUGGCAGCAGUCGAGAAUCAUUCACAAUGGGGGAAACCCUGAUGGUGCGACGCCGCGUGGGGGAAUGAAGGUCUUCGGAUUGUAAACCCCUGUCAUGUGGGAGCAAAUUAAAAAGAUAGUACCACAAGAGGAAGAGACGGCUAACUCUGUGCCAGCAGCCGCGGUAAUACAGAGGUCUCAAGCGUUGUUCGGAAUCACUGGGCGUAAAGCGUGCGUAGGCUGUUUCGUAAGUCGUGUGUGAAAGGCGCGGGCUCAACCCGCGGACGGCACAUGAUACUGCGAGACUAGAGUAAUGGAGGGGGAACCGGAAUUCUCGGUGUAGCAGUGAAAUGCGUAGAUAUCGAGAGGAACACUCGUGGCGAAGGCGGGUUCCUGGACAUUAACUGACGCUGAGGCACGAAGGCCAGGGGAGCGAAAGGGAUUAGAUACCCCCUGUAGUCCUGGCAGUAAACGGUGCACGCUUGGUGUGCGGGGAAUCGACCCCCUGCGUGCCGGAGCUAACGCGUUAAGCGUGCCGCCUGGGGAGUACGGUCGCAAGAUUAAAACUCAAAGAAAUUGACGGGGACCCGCACAAGCGGUGGAGUAUGUGGCUUAAUUCGAUGCAACGCGAAGAACCUUACCUGGGCUUGACAUGUAAUGAACAACAUGUGAAAGCAUGCGACUCUUCGGAGGCGUUACACAGGUGCUGCAUGGCCGUCGUCAGCUCGUGUCGUGAGAUGUUUGGUUAAGUCCAGCAACGAGCGCAACCCCUGUUGCCAGUUACCAGCACGUGAAGGUGGGGACUCUGGCGAGACUGCCCAGAUCAACUGGGAGGAAGGUGGGGACGACGUCAGGUCAGUAUGGCCCUUAUGCCCAGGGCUGCACACGUACUACAAUGCCCAGUACAGAGGGGGCCGAAGCCGCGAGGCGGAGGAAAUCCUAAAAACUGGGCCCAGUUCGGACUGUAGGCUGCAACCCGCCUACACGAAGCCGGAAUCGCUAGUAAUGGCGCAUCAGCUACGGCGCCGUGAAUACGUUCCCGGGUCUUGCACACAC
RNAcentral lists this ribosomal RNA (1362 nucleotides) under uncultured bacterium. RNAcentral describes it as "bacterial SSU rRNA". It matches the Rfam family "Bacterial small subunit ribosomal RNA". The record is from RNAcentral.